RNAcentral lists this ribosomal RNA (2903 nucleotides) under Proteus mirabilis. Its description in RNAcentral is "23S ribosomal RNA". It matches the Rfam family "Bacterial large subunit ribosomal RNA". The record is from RNAcentral. Lineage: Bacteria; Pseudomonadati; Pseudomonadota; Gammaproteobacteria; Enterobacterales; Morganellaceae.
GGUUAAGCGAAUAAGCGUACACGGUGGAUGCCUAGGCAAUCAGAGGCGAUGAAGGACGUGCUAAUCUGCGAAAAGCGUCGGUAAGGUGAUAUGAACCGUUAUACCCGACGAUAUCCGAAUGGGGAAACCCAGUAUCCAAUGGAUACUAUCAUUAACUGAAUCCAUAGGUUAAUGAGGCGAACCGGGAGAACUGAAACAUCUCAGUACCCCGAGGAAAAGAAAUCAACCGAGAUUCCCCUAGUAGCGGCGAGCGAACGGGGAGCAGCCCAGAGUCUUAAUCAAUAGCAGUGUCAGGAGAACGGUCUGGAAAGUCCGGCAGUAAAGGGUGAUAGCCCCGUAUCUGAAGAUGCUGUUAUUGUGAACUCGACGAGUAGGGCGGGACACGUGUUAUCCUGUCUGAAUAUGGGGGGACCAUCCUCCAAGGCUAAAUACUCCUGAUUGACCGAUAGUGAACCAGUACCGUGAGGGAAAGGCGAAAAGAACCCCGGCGAGGGGAGUGAAAAAGAACCUGAAACCGUGUACGUACAAGCAGUAGGAGCCUCUUUAUGGGGUGACUGCGUACCUUUUGUAUAAUGGGUCAGCGACUUAUAUUCUGUAGCAAGGUUAACCGCAUAGGGGAGCCGUAGGGAAACCGAGUCUUAACUGGGCGAAUGAGUUGCAGGGUAUAGACCCGAAACCCGGUGAUCUAUCCAUGGGCAGGUUGAAGGUUGGGUAACACUAACUGGAGGACCGAACCGACUAAUGUUGAAAAAUUAGCGGAUGACUUGUGGAUGGGGGUGAAAGGCCAAUCAAACCGGGAGAUAGCUGGUUCUCCCCGAAAGCUAUUUAGGUAGCGCCUCGUGAACUCAUCUUCGGGGGUAGAGCACUGUUUCGACUAGGGGGUCAUCCCGACUUACCAACUCGAUGCAAACUGCGAAUACCGAAGAAUGUUAUCACGGGAGACACACGGCGGGUGCUAACGUCCGUCGUGAAGAGGGAAACAACCCAGACCGCCAGCUAAGGUCCCAAAGUCAUGGUUAAGUGGGAAACGAAGUGGGAAGGCUCAGACAGCCAGGAUGUUGGCUUAGAAGCAGCCAUCAUUUAAAGAAAGCGUAAUAGCUCACUGGUCGAGUCGGCCCGCGCGGAAGAUGUAACGGGGCUAAACCAUGCACCGAAGCUGCGGCAGCGACACAUAGUGUUGUUGGGUAGGGGAGCGUUCUGUAAGCCUGCGAAGGUGUACUGUGAGGUAUGCUGGAGGUAUCAGAAGUGCGAAUGCUGACAUAAGUAACGAUAAUGCGGGUGAAAAACCCGCACGCCGGAAGACCAAGGGUUCCUGUCCAACGUUAAUCGGGGCAGGGUGAGUCGACCCCUAAGGCGAGGCUGAAAAGCGUAGUCGAUGGGAAACGGGUUAAUAUUCCCGUACUGGUGGUAACUGCGAUGGGGGAACGGAGAAGGCUAGGUUGUCCGGGCGACGGUCGUCCCGGUUCAAGCAGGUAGGCAGAGUGAUUAGGCAAAUCCGGUCACUUAAUGCUGAGAUGUGAUGACGAACCACCAAGGUGGUGAAGCAAUUGAUGCCCCGCUUCCAGGAAAAGCCUCUAAGCUUCAGGUUACCAACAAUCGUACCCCAAACCGACACAGGUGGUCAGGUAGAGAAUACUCAGGCGCUUGAGAGAACUCGGGUGAAGGAACUAGGCAAAAUGGUGCCGUAACUUCGGGAGAAGGCACGCUGGCGGUAGGUAAAGUCCCUCGCGGACGGCGCUGAAGCCAGUCGAAGAUACCAGCUGGCUGCAACUGUUUAUUAAAAACACAGCACUGUGCAAACACGAAAGUGGACGUAUACGGUGUGACGCCUGCCCGGUGCUGGAAGGUUAAUUGAUGGGGUCAGCCGUAAGGCGAAGCUCCUGAUCGAAGCCCCAGUAAACGGCGGCCGUAACUAUAACGGUCCUAAGGUAGCGAAAUUCCUUGUCGGGUAAGUUCCGACCUGCACGAAUGGCGUAAUGAUGGCCAGGCUGUCUCCACCCGAGACUCAGUGAAAUUGAACUCGCUGUGAAGAUGCAGUGUACCCGCGGCAAGACGGAAAGACCCCGUGAACCUUUACUAUAGCUUGACACUGAACAUUGAGCCUUGAUGUGUAGGAUAGGUGGGAGGCUUUGAAGUGUGGACGCCAGUCUGCAUGGAGCCAACCUUGAAAUACCACCCUUUAACGUUUGAUGUUCUAACCUAGGCCCAUAAACUGGGUCGGGGACCGUGUCUGGUGGGUAGUUUGACUGGGGCGGUCUCCUCCUAAAGAGUAACGGAGGAGCACGAAGGUUGGCUAAGCAUGGUCGGACAUCAUGCGGUUAGUGCAAAGGCAUAAGCCAGCUUGACUGCGAGAGUGACGGCUCGAGCAGGUACGAAAGUAGGUCUUAGUGAUCCGGUGGUUCUGAAUGGAAGGGCCAUCGCUCAACGGAUAAAAGGUACUCCGGGGAUAACAGGCUGAUACCGCCCAAGAGUUCAUAUCGACGGCGGUGUUUGGCACCUCGAUGUCGGCUCAUCACAUCCUGGGGCUGAAGUAGGUCCCAAGGGUAUGGCUGUUCGCCAUUUAAAGUGGUACGCGAGCUGGGUUUAGAACGUCGUGAGACAGUUCGGUCCCUAUCUGCCGUGGGCGUUGGAAGAUUGAGAGGGGUUGCUCCUAGUACGAGAGGACCGGAGUGAACGCACCACUGGUGUUCGGGUUGUCAUGCCAAUGGCAUUGCCCGGUAGCUAAGUGCGGAAGAGAUAACCGCUGAAAGCAUCUAAGCGGGAAACUUGCCUCGAGAUGAGUCUUCCCUGUCACUUUAAGUGACCUAAAGGAACGUUUAAGACUAAGACGUUGAUAGGCUGGGUGUGUAAGCGUAGCGAUACGUUGAGCUAACCAGUACUAAUGAACCGUGAGGCUUAACCUG